RNAcentral lists this ribosomal RNA (253 nucleotides) under uncultured bacterium. RNAcentral's name for it is "partial 16S ribosomal RNA". It matches the Rfam family "Bacterial small subunit ribosomal RNA", at positions 524 to 776 of the family's 1533-position model. The record is from RNAcentral.
UACAGAGGUCCCGAGCGUUAGGCGGAAUCACUGGGCUUAAAGCGUGUGUAGGUGGACCGUUAAGUACUCUGUGAAAUCCCACGGCUUAACCGUGGAACUGCUUGGUAUACUGGCGGUCUUGAGCCAGCUAGGGGCUACCGGAACAAAUAGUGGAGCGGUGAAAUGCGUAGAUAUCAUUUGGAACGCCAAUGGUGAAAACAGGUAGCUGGGGCUGUGCUGACACUGAGACACGAAAGCCAGGGGAGCAAACGGG